AGUGAACGCUGGCGGCGUGCUUAACACAUGCAAGUCGAACGAGAACGGACUAAAGCUUGCUUUAGUUGUCAGCUAAGUGGCGCACGGGUGAGUAAUGUAUAGUUAACCUGCCCUCGAGAAAGGAAUAACAGUUGGAAACGACUGCUAAUGCCCUAUAUGCCCAUAAUACAUAAGUAUGCUGGGGAAACGCUUUUGUGCUCGAGGAUGGGACUGUAUGGUAUCAGCUAGUUGGUGAGGUAAUGGCUCACCAAGGCAAUGACGCCUAACUGGUUUGAGAGGAUGAUCAGUCACACUGGAACUGAGACACGGUCCAGACUCCUACGGGAGGCAGCAGUGGGGAAUAUUGCACAAUGGAGGAAACUCUGAUGCAGCAACGCCGCGUGGAGGAUGACACUUUUCGGAGCGUAAACUCCUUUUAUAUAGGAAGAUAAUGACGGUACUAUAUGAAUAAGCACCGGCUAACUCCGUGCC
Molecule: ribosomal RNA, 471 nt
Filed under: uncultured bacterium
Lineage: Bacteria
Description: bacterial SSU rRNA
Rfam family: Bacterial small subunit ribosomal RNA
Source: RNAcentral